RNAcentral lists this transfer RNA (72 nucleotides) under Promethearchaeota archaeon. RNAcentral describes it as "Candidatus Lokiarchaeota archaeon (permafrost metagenome) tRNA-Val". It matches the Rfam family "tRNA". From Rfam's summary of the family: Transfer RNA (tRNA) molecules are approximately 80 nucleotides in length. Their secondary structure includes four short double-helical elements and three loops (D, anti-codon, and T loops). The record is from RNAcentral. Lineage: Archaea; Promethearchaeati; Promethearchaeota.
GGGCCGAUGGUUUAGUGGUAUAACGCUUGCUUGACGUGCAAGAGGUCGGGAGUUCAAUCCUCCCUCGGCCCA